GGAGCUAUGAGUGGAAGUUUUUUUGUCCUGCCCAUUAUGAAAGUUGAAAAAUUCUCCUGAUAACUCCUGCCCCAUUCUUUAUAUUAAUACAUUCUCUUUUUUCUUAAGUCCAAUGAAGCCUAAUUUCGGAGAUAUAAUCAAGAUGAGCUGAGCUGAUUUAGGUUGAUCACAGGACAAAAUGAAGGAAAUAGGAAAAAUCUCUAGUUUUCCUUCUCUUCAAAGCUUAGACUCACUAACUUCAGAAGAGGUGUUAAAUGUCCUAAGAUUGUUAAUUUGGAUAUCUGUUGACCUAGGCUCACUCCCAAAUAGAAUUGGAUCAAGGAAAAAUGAAUCAAACCUGUCCUGAGGUUUUUCUCUCCUCCUCCCCGAGAGUGCCCCAUGCCUCCCAGGAAGCCCUACAGUGGUCCAUCUGGGGCCACUGGAGUGGGGAUUUGCUCUUUGGCUCCCCUGACUCACCAAGCACUUGCAGCUUGAUCUUCCAUUCUUGCUCAUUCCCAGUCUUUUUCAACACCCUCAUGAUGUAGGUGCUGUUGUCCUCUUUCUGGACCUUAGAGAUGUACAGUGCGCCACUCUGAGGAUCAAGUCUGACCCUGCCUUUAAAUUUGGAUUCAAAGUACUUAGAUUUUCUGGAAUCCCAUUCUACAAUCUUCUGGUCGAAAGUAUAAAACCAGGUUAGUUGUUUGUAGUUCUCAGGCAGGCUCUCAGAGAUGUUCAGAGUCACGUUGCUGCCGGAGACCACGGUCAUAUGUACCAAGUGACCUGCCAAUGAGAUUCAGAGUGAGACCUGCGCUAGAGGAGGCAGUGUUGCUGACAGGCCCAGGGUAUAGCCUGGGCUGGUGGAACAGGUGAGAAGGAAGGGAUUUCUGCUUAGGAGCAGUGAGUAUGGUUUUCACUGGAGGUCCAGGUCUCCUGCUUAGGAACUCAAGAAAAGUUGAAGCUUGAAAAGUGGGCAUGGGGGAAGGGGAUGCUGCUUAUAAUUAAUCUAGUACUGUCCCCAGAAAAUGAAAGAAUUGAGUAAGGCCAACUGAGGUUGGGCCUGGCUCUCUCCCUUACUCUCAUACCAGUAGACUUUCAAAUAAACUGAUGACAAGUCAUA
Molecule: long non-coding RNA, 1096 nt
Filed under: Homo sapiens (human)
Lineage: Eukaryota; Metazoa; Chordata; Mammalia; Primates; Hominidae
Description: HSALNT0016356
Source: RNAcentral